GACGAACGCUGGCGGCGUGCCUAAUACAUGCAAGUUGAGCGCUGAAGGUUGGUACUUGUACCGACUGGAUGAGCAGCGAACGGGUGAGUAACGCGUGGGGAAUCUGCCUUUGAGCGGGGGACAACAUUUGGAAACGAAUGCUAAUACCGCAUAAAAACUUUAAACACAAGUUUUAAGUUUGAAAGAUGCAAUUGCAUCACUCAAAGAUGAUCCCGCGUUGUAUUAGCUAGUUGGUGAGGUAAGGGCUCACCAAGGCGAUGAUACAUAGCCGACCUGAGAGGGUGAUCGGCCACAUUAGGACUGAGACACGGCCCAAACUCCUACGGGAGGCAGCAGUAGGGAAUCUUCGGCAAUGGACGAAAGUCUGACCGAGCAACGCCGCGUGAGUGAAGAAGGGUUUCGGAUCGUAAAACUCUGUUGGUAGAGAAGAACGUUGGUGAGAGUGGAAAGCUCAUCAAGUGACGGUAACUACCCGGAAAGGGACGGCUAACUACGUG
Molecule: ribosomal RNA, 497 nt
Filed under: uncultured bacterium
Lineage: Bacteria
Description: partial 16S ribosomal RNA
Rfam family: Bacterial small subunit ribosomal RNA
Source: RNAcentral